RNAcentral lists this ribosomal RNA (497 nucleotides) under uncultured bacterium. RNAcentral's name for it is "partial 16S ribosomal RNA". It matches the Rfam family "Bacterial small subunit ribosomal RNA", at positions 28 to 507 of the family's 1533-position model. The record is from RNAcentral.
GAUGAACGCUGGCGGCGUGCCUAAUACAUGCAAGUCGAGCGAACAGACGAGGAGCUUGCUCCUCUGACGUUAGCGGCGGACGGGUGAGUAACACGUGGAUAACCUACCUAUAAGACUGGGAUAACUUCGGGAAACCGGAGCUAAUACCGGAUAAUAUAUUGAACCGCAUGGUUCAAUAGUGAAAGACGGCUUUGCUGUCACUUAUAGAUGGAUCCGCGCCGCAUUAGCUAGUUGGUAAGGUACAGGCUUACCAAGGCAACGAUGCGUAGCCGACCUGAGAGGGUGAGCGUCCCCACGGGAACUGAAACACGGUCCAGACGCCUACGAGAGGCAGCAGUAGAGAAUCUUCCGCAAUGGGCGAAAGCCUGACGGAGCAACGCCGCGUGAGUGAUGAAGGUCUUCGGAUCGUAAAACUCUGUUAUUAGGGAAGAACAAAUGUGUAAGUAACUAUGCACGUCUUGACGGUACCUAAUCAGAAAGCCACGGCUAACUACGUG